GGUGAAGAAGGUUCGAUUAAAAUCGCUGCAUCGUGCAGCAACAUCGAACUGACCUACAUCCUGUAGG
Small RNA from Pontibacillus yanchengensis Y32, 67 nucleotides. It matches the Rfam family "Bacillaceae-1 RNA". NCBI's taxonomy places the organism in Bacteria, Bacillati, Bacillota, Bacilli, Caryophanales, Bacillaceae. The record is from Rfam.